This 3837-nucleotide long non-coding RNA is filed under the name Sus scrofa (pig). RNAcentral's name for it is "lncRNA (ENSSSCG00050065268.1)". The record is from RNAcentral. Lineage: Eukaryota; Metazoa; Chordata; Mammalia; Artiodactyla; Suidae.
GUAAGGGGAGAUAUGGUCAGGGCUCAAGAAAUGGACACUCUUGUCAGAAUCAGAGCGACCUGAGUGGCCCUCAGACUGGAAGCCGUUGGGGGUCGGGCUGGGGCACGUCGCACAUGCUCACACUGCACCUUUCGCCGAGUCGGAUUUCUCACCAGCAGUUGGAACACCCCAGACCCACCUGAUGGGGGCCUGACUGCACCUCGCUUCCUGCUGGCCUAUCGGGUGCCCUGAGCUAGAGGGCGCCGCCUGAGUGGCUCAGUGGGGAAGAGAGUGGGGCCUCUCUGGUUAAUGUUUACCCGCCAGGGCUGUGCCGGCCGGCCCAGGCUGGUUAGGCCCGGGUUGUGCAGAGAAGGGCCGAGGGGGAGGGGAAGUGAUGGGGCUUCCCCCCCCCCGCCCCCCGCCUUGUCUAGACUCCUCCCUGCGGCCUCCGAGUGAGCGAGCAGGUGACAAGAGGGCCCAGGAAGCCAGCAGUACUGUCCCCCUGCUGCGUGUCACGCAGUGUGUGGAAGUGCUGUGGUCAGGCCCUCCUGUUUAGAGAGGGGGCUAAAUAAGGGGUCUGUGACAAACUUAUUGCCAACUUAUUGUCUCCAUUCUAGAGCCUAGAAGUCCAAAAUCAAGGUGUCAGCAGGGUCGCCCUUUCUCUGAAGGUUCUGGAAGAUGACCCUUCCAGGGCUCUCCUGGCUUCUGGCAGCCUCAGCCUGUGGUGUUCCCUUAGCUUGUGCCCGCAUUACCCACCCUCUGCCUCCCUCUCCCUGUGGCUUCCAAGACCCUGUUUCCAGGUACCUGACAUAGCUGGAAUCAUACAGUACUUGUCCUUCCGUGCCUGACUUCUUUCACAUAGCAUGAUGUUCUCAGCAUUCAUCUGCGUUGUAGCAGGUACUGGAAUUCCCUUCCUUUUUCCAGGGUGAGUAAUAUUCCAUUGUGUGUGGACCCUAUUUUGCAUGUCCAUUCAUCCAUGGAUGAGCACAUGAGUUGCAUCCACCUUCUGGCUGUUGCGAAUAAUGUUGCUGUGAACAUGGGUAUACAAACAUCUCUUUGUAACUCUGUGUGCCAUUCUUUUGGGUAGAUACGCAGAAGUGGAAUUGCUGGAUCAUAUCACAAUUCUAUGUUUAAUUUUUUGAGGAGCCAUCAUAUCCUUUUCCACUGUGGCUGCACCACCUUACAGUCCUACUGACGGUGCACAAGGGUUCCAUUUCUCUGCAUCCUCAUCAACACUGGUUACUGUCUGGGCUUUUAGUUGUUUGUUUUUGAUAGUAGCCUAAUGGCUGUGAGGGGGUAGCUCGCUGUGGUUUGGAUUUGCAUUUCCCUAAUGAUUAGUGGAGGUGAGCAUCUUUUCUUUUGCUUAUUGGCCAUUUGUAUAUUUUCUUUGGAGCAAUGCCAAUUCACGUCCUUUGCCCUUUUUUUAACUGGGUUGUUUGAUUUUUUUUCUGGUUGAGUUGUAGGAGUCCUUUAUGCAUUCAGAAUAUUAAUCUUUCACCAGAUGUGCGAUUUACAAAUAUCUUCUCCCAUUCUUGGGGUUCCUGUUGUGGCUCAGUGGGUAGCGAACCCAACUAGCAUCCUUGAGGACGAGGGUUUGAUCCCUGGCCUUGCUUGGUGGGUUAAGGAUCUGGUGUUGCCCUGAGCAUGGUGUAGGCUGCAGAUGUGGCUCGGAUCCCACAUUGCUGUGGCUGUGGUACAGGCCAGCAGCUACAGCUCUGAUUUGACUCCUCGCCUGGGAACCUCCAUAUGCCACAGAUGCAGUCCUAAAAGGACAAAAAGACCAAAACAUAAAAAUAAAUAAAUACUAUUCUCAGUGGUAUAAAAUGUCUAACAACUAACAGUCAACCGCCCCAAAAAAAACCCCCAAUAUUUUCUCCCAUUCUGUUGGUUGCCUUUUCACCCUGUUGAUUGUGUCUUUUUAUACACAAAAGUUUUAAAUUUCGAUGUGGUCUAACUUUUCUAUUUUUACUUUUGUUGCCUGUGCUUUUGAUGUCAUGUCUACGAAAUCAUCCGCUAAAUCCAAUGUUAAGAUUUUCCCCUGUUUUCUUCUAAGGGUUUUAUAGUUUUACCUCUAACAUUUAAGCCUUUGUCCAUCUCGAAUUCAUUUUUGUGUGUGGUCUAAGGUAAAGCUCCAGUUUCAUUAUUUUGCAUGUGGCCACCAGGUUUCCCUGCACCACUUACUGCAAAGAUUAUUCUUGCCACAUUAUAAGGGUCUUGGCACCCUUGUUAAUCAUCAUUUGAGGUUUUACUUGAGAAUUUAUUAUGAGAACUUAUUUCUUUAUGUGAGAAUUUAUUUCUGGGCUUUCUAUUCUGUCCCUUGGUUUAUAUGCCUGUCUUAAUUAUAUGCCUCUCUUAAUGCCAGCACCACACUGUGUGGAUUACUGUAGCUUUGUAGUAUGUUUUGAAACUGGGAGGUAUGAGGCGUCCAACUUUGUUCUACUUUUUCAAGAUUAUUUUGGCUAUUCAGGGGUCCCUUGAAAUUCCAUAUGAAUUGGAGGAUGGGUUUUUCUAUUUCUGCCCCUCAAAAUGCCAUUGGGAUUUUGAGAGGGAUUGCAUUAAAUCUGUAGGUUGCAUGGGGUACUAUUGGUAUCUCAACAAUAUUAAAUCUUGGACUCCAUGAACACAAAUGUCUUUCCAUUCAUUCGUGCUUUAAUUUUUUCAGCAAUGUUUUGAGUUUUCUGUGUACAAGACUCUCACCUCCUUGUUCACAUUUAUUCCUAAGUAUUUUAUUCUUUUUGAUUAUUUAAUCUUCACAAAAUUUCAUUCGGGUUCAGCCAACAUUUGCCAACAUUCAUGUUUUUCCUCUUUCGUUUCUCCCUUUCUCAUAUAUUCUUGUUCAAUUUUCUUUGCUUUUUCGGCCGCCCCACGACACAGUUGAAUCUUGAGUCUCCCAAUCUGCGAGGGUUGGGAAAGUAGCAUCCUGUUUCCCUCAGGGUGAAUCAGCCCAGCCCCUUGAAAUAAAAAGAUAAAACUCUCUUUAAAACUCAGUUUUGAGUAAAACACAUUUGAAUGUUUCAUGAAAUAGUUCCUCGUGGGGCUUUUACUUCCUCAAAAAAUGUUUUUAGUGUAAGACACUAAAAUUUUAAAUAAAACUCAUAACUGGGGGCAGAGGGAAGGUACUUGUGUGGGGGCCUGUCUUCUGAGGGGCUUUGUUUCCACGUGUGACCUGACUGGGGCCGGAGGCAAUCUUCUCACCAAGCUGCUUGGGGAUUGAACCUCAGAGCCCUUCCUGAAACCCUCUCUUCGCGGAGAGAUGAGGGAGACACACGGGGCUGAGUCAGAACAGUCAUCCUGCCUGUCUGGCCCUUGUGGCCAAGAGGCCCUGGGACCCAGACCAUCUGGGUUUGUCUGUGUGUGUGUAAGUGUUUUCACGUCCCAUCCUUUGGCUCCAGGGUCCACCUAACACCUGGCAAAAUAGAGCGUGCUGGCCAGCGGGGCCUAAGGAGGCCUCCACUCAACCCUGCGUUCCACGAGAAACCGGAAGGAAAACAGCAGUAGCGCCCUGGUCUACACGUGAACACAGGAUCCGGUCACCGGCGGUUCCCAGGGAGAAGGUGGGGAAAACUGCGUGUCCCUGGGGCCCACAGUGUCAGCUCUGUCUGUCCAGGCUCAGCUUCCAAGCCGCCUCCAGCCAGGGACAUGCACCUGCCUCCUGCGGAGAGUUUAAUGCGUUUGGGCAGCUGUAUCCAGUCCCGUAAUCCCCACCACGAGCAAAGCCCAGAACGUCCAUCCCCCGCCCAAACUGCCCUCUUUGCCCCUUCCAACACCCGUGGCCCCCGUCAGCCACAAAUCUGCUUUCUGUCCCUACAGUUUUGCCUUUCCCCACAUGUAAUAUAAAGGGAAUUGUAUAAUAUGUAA